CCAUCAUCAUCAUUGUUGCAUCACUACUGUCAUUGUCAUCAUGAUCAUGACCAUCGUCGUCAUCACAACUGGCAUCAUCAUCGUGGUCAUCAUCGCUGUCAUCAAAUGUCACCUUCUACAACCAGAUGUCCUGACCAUUCCACCAAGGCUGGUGUGAACCGCUCCGAUCUUCGGGUGACGAGAUCAAGGCCUGACACUCCGGGUUCACCUGUCAGCGGGGCUCAGCUGGGCUGAAGAUGCCACUUUCCUCUAGUUGGUGAGUUCUGUGCUUGAGCGGCGUCUUAGAAUCACCCGAGGACCUUUGAGAAAUGCCAGUGUCCGGGACAUACCCCCAGAGAUUGCGAUUCAGUUGCUGGGAUGGACCUCGGCAUCCGUGUUGUUACAGCGCUCCCAGCGGAUUUCCAUGCAUGGCUUUGGUGGAGGACACAACUCGAGCUACAGCCAGAGAACCAGAGGGCUGGGCUCUACUUGAAUUUUACCUAGGAGGCACCAGAAGCUCAGAGAGGGGUAAAUCUCACGGAAGGUCACACAGCAAGUGGGAAGCCCAGCCUGGAUGAGCCCUCUAGAGUGCCUAUGGGGCUGUUUCCUUGGGCACGGGGAACUUUCUCUUGAAACCCCUCAGCCCGUCAACUCGAAGGCAAGACACCUUUUAGACAGAGGGAGGGUGGCCACCCAGGCUGAGCCUCGGAGCCCCUGCACCCUGCCCACCCUGAUGGAGGGACAGCCAGAACUUCCUCCAGGCUCACAGAUACCUCUGUCUCCCUUGCACUCUGUGCCCUCACGACCCCUUUGUUGGAGCAUGGCUGCGUCGCCGUGGCCCAUGAUGGAGCUGGGGCCGCUUGGGGACAAGAGACCAUCUCUGAGUCUGGAACCUAGUCAUGGGCAGCCUCUUCUGGAUUUGAGUUUCUGGAGCCUUGUGGAGAAAAGGCCACACUUCGCAGCCCACGGAAGCGAGGAGAGGCCUCAGUUAUCUGCCCCGGCAUACCCAUUCCUGGCGGAGGAUUAGAACACUCCCGCCCAAGUGGGACUCCAUGAUGGAUGUCGAGAAGCAACCAAAUGUCCCUCAUUAAUCACCAGCCCCAUCUGGCUCCCCGCCUGAUGGUUUUCAGCUGACUUGAAAAAGACCCAAUUAGAUGAAAACAUUUUGACAAUUUAUCUUGUGGCAUGAACAGGUCCAGAUUGAGGCUAUGAUUUCAUCACUGGGGAGGGAGGAAGGGAUCGGGAUGUGGGUCACGCACAGAGCUCGGGGGGACGUGGGGGUCUCCCCCAGGAGCCUUCCUGUGAACCAGAGUGCAGUCCGCCUCCCGCUGGCUGCUGGCCGUGUCAGUCCCGGGGCCGGCCGGAACCGCAGGAGGAAGAGCAUCCUUUGGUUCGGGUGGAAAAGGCCCAAGAAAAUGGACAAUCGGAAAUAGUCGAGCAGCUCGGCCUGCGGGGGGGUUGAAUGGGAAGCAGAAGUUGGGAUGUGACCAAGGCCGGGCCUGGUCCAGCCCUCACACGAGCGAGGUGCCUGGGGACCCAGCCCAGAGACAGGUGACUCAGAUUUGGCCUCCUUGAGGUGUGCCUGGCAGAGCCCCCUGAGAUUCCCACACCCUCCUUGUAGAGCCGGGAACGUGCCAGUGUCUCCGGAAUGGCCCAUCCACGGCGGGUGAUUGUUUCCAUGAGAUCACGGCUCUUCGUUCUUCAAAACCGUGUUUCCAGCCGCCUUGAAGGUCCUUGUGGGUGGCUCGCCAGGAAAGCCCCCGGCGGGCUACCUGCCGCCCCUUGAAACUUGUUCAUGCCCUCUCUCCUCUGCACGGGGAAGCUGCCUGAGGACCGGAAAAGCAAACCAGGGUGUCUCUCCCACCAAGUUCAUGUCUGCAGCCCGCAGGCCGACAGGAGCGGCGGCUGAUGCUUUUCCCUCCUCUCUGUCUCUGCCGUUGACAGCCCGACACCCAGGACAGCGUGCAAACCCAGUUAUCCACAGCUGUUGCCAAGGAUAUUUAUCACUUUUCAGCCCUCCACGUGACUCCUAGAUGAGACACCCAAAUGCACCUAAAUGGGGCCCUUUUCGCUUCCCGUUUGAAGUAAAAAUUUCCAAGCAACAUCUGACAUCAGGAUAACGAUGACUCAGACUUUCCGACACUUAAGCCCAGAUCCACAUGUCCAAACAUCUAAGAUGAUGCUACGUGGUAUAUGAGUUCUGCCCCUGACUCCAACAGGCUGUUCACCUUGUGGCAUCUCCGAGGUCCUUCCACGGUGCCGUGGUUCUGGAGGUCUCGCUUACGUGCCGCCUCAGUAUGGAGUCGUGGAAGGGACGUUAAACUAGACUGGAAGAGUGCAGAUCUAACCCAGAAAUGCCAGCAAGGGGUUGCACUGUCCCAGGCACUCUCCCGGCCUCUCGGCAUUGCGGUCCGGUCAUUUGAGAAAUAGUCAGCAGUUUCCAAGCAUUUUGUAAAACAAAGAUCCCUUUGGCCAAACCAAAUCUUAAAUGGAGCCCCAGUGUAGGGCGGAUAAAUGCCGCGCUGAUUUGGUUGAGGCAGGACUGGAGCCCCAGAGUCCUACUCGCUCUCCUCCUUCCCGGUGCAAGAAGCCCGAAGGUCACUCUAGGAAGCUUUAGGGCUCCAUGGAACACAGUUGGAAAACCACUG
Molecule: long non-coding RNA, 2627 nt
Organism: Herpailurus yagouaroundi (jaguarundi)
Lineage: Eukaryota; Metazoa; Chordata; Mammalia; Carnivora; Felidae
Exons: 3
Source: RefSeq, a predicted model, not a curated record